RNAcentral lists this unclassified non-coding RNA (2359 nucleotides) under Stegodyphus dumicola. RNAcentral's name for it is "solute carrier family 35 member F5-like, transcript variant X1". Lineage: Eukaryota; Metazoa; Arthropoda; Arachnida; Araneae; Eresidae. The record is from RNAcentral.
UAGAGGCGCUAAAAAAGGUAUGAACGAAACCAAGCAACAGGACACGAAUACUCAAGAAGAUGAUCGCGUUUGUUUCGUUGAUGAUGUUUUGAAUAACUGUUUUCACGUGAGGAAAAUUGUAAACUUCAAAAAUGUAAUUCGUACUUUAUUUUGGGAAGGUUGUUUGUCCAGCUGUGUUUCUUUAUUGUCAUAGUGUAGUUCCAUAUGAAAGGAAAUUACCAAACUCUUAUAAUUUCUUGAAUCCUAACUAUUCUACUGGUAUUUCUGCUGUCCGUGGAAGUUUCAAAAAUGCAUUUGAACCUAGUCAGCUUAAAUCCAUAGAACAUGUCUUGUUUCUCACCCAUAUCUUUUGGAAAAUUAAAAGAGAGUACACUCAAUGGCAAAACUUAAUAAUGCUCAUCGUUUGGUUUGUGGAACCUUGGUUUUACUUCUUGUUGAUGUUAUAUGGGUUGCCUCAUCUGAAUUAACCAAAUAUAUAUUUAAAGAUGAAAAUUUUAGCAAGCCUUUUUUUAGUACAUAUGUGAAAACGACCAUGUUCAUGCUUUAUUUAUUGGGUUUUAUAUUUUGGAAACCAUGGCGAAGUCAGUGCAGUUCUAAACCUAUGUAUGCCCUUGUUGAUCCCACUAGCAGUGAAAUUGAAGAACAUGAUUGUGAUUAUGUUGAGGCUGAGCCUUUAUUGAGUGAAUCAGUAUUCAUACCUAUUAAAUAUCAUGAUGGUGGUGAAAAAAGCAGUGGAAAUGAAUCGGAUGAUUCAUCAUCUAAACAAAGUGUUAAAUCUGUACACUUUAACCAAGUCACUGAAGUUCGUCAUUUAUCAGAAUCACAAGCUGAUGAUGCUUUAUUGGCACGGCUGUCCUAUGCAGCUUCACUUAGAGCUCAAGAAAGUGCUUUCAGGGCUGCCAACAAAUUACCAAUGAAACAAGUCGCAAGAAUUGCACUACUUUUCUGCAUAUUGUGGUUUUUGGGUAAUCUUUCUUAUCAAGAAGCACUGUCAAACACUGAAGCAGGUAUAGUCAAUAUCUUAUCAUGCUCAUCAGGAUUAUUCACACUUAUAUUGGCAUCAAUAUUUCCUGCAAACAGUGGAGAUCGGUUUACACUUUCAAAAUUUUUAGCAGUUGCCAUGAGCAUAGUUGGAGUAUCAAUAAUAUCAAGUGAAGAUAAAGGCAUGCAAAAUUUCUUUCCCCCUGGAGCUGUUUGGUCUAUUCUUGGAGCCUUCUUUUAUGCUGCUUAUGUUGUGUUGCUGAGGAGAAAAGUGGAUAGUGAAGAAAUGUUAGAUAUUCCUAUGUUUUUUGGUUUUGUUGGCUUAUUUAAUCUGUUAUUAAUGUGGCCAGGAUUUAUUUUCUUGCAUUAUACAAAAGUAGAAGAAUUUCAGUGGCCUUCUCAACACCAGUGGUUAUUGUUACUGUGCAAUGGAUUGAUUGGUACUGUAUUUUCUGAGUUACUUUGGCUUUGGUUGAUUACCCUUUGCCAUUUUUCCUGGGAACAAUGCCAAUGUUUUUGUCAUUCUUUGCUGUUGCAUUUUUAACACAUUAUGAAAACUGGGAUCCUGUUCUUGUUGGUGUCAACAAACUAGUCAAUUUAUGUUUUAGGAAAAAACAAAGGGUACGUGAUAUAGAUUAUGAACAGACUGAAUCUCUGAUCAAUGUAAAUAGUGAAUAUACAUAACAAAAAUACUGCAUACAUUCUUUAAGGUCAUUGAUAUUGCGUCACAAGAACUUUUUGAACUGGAGCUUUUCAUUCUUUUAUAUCAGAAGUACUUGCAGCUAACAAAAUUACUUUUUGUAAUGCUCUCCUCUUGUAAAAUGUCAUUAUCAUCAAAUUUUAAAUAUGCAUAAAAGUAUCUAAUAACCAAAUGUUUUAUUUAUAUUAGUGUAUAGUAUAUGUUUUGAGUUUUUGUAAUGUAAGAAAUUAUGUAUCUUGUAAAUAAAACAUGACAAUUUACUCUAUUAAUGAUUUUGUAUGCAUUUAAGUUUAUAUUUGUGAUAAAUUAUUUUCAUACUAAAAUGGUAUAAAAAGCUUUAAUUUAGGGAAAAAAAAUAUUUUGUGUGCAGAUUUUUCUUAUACAUCUAUGUUUACGAAAUGUAUUUUAGUGAGGCUUUAUAAGUAUUUAUAUUAAAAAAGGACUUGUAAUAUAUAAAAAAUGCUCCCAAAUAUUUUAAAAUGUCAUCUUACUUAACAUAUCCUUUCAUAUUUUGAAUUAAAUUUCAAAUAUAAAGAAUGGAUAUCAUGUAAUUUUGCUUUAGUCUGUGUGUAAAUUAUUGCUUCUGAAGAUCUGUAAAAAUGUGAUAGAAAAUUAUAUGUUAGACUGAUGUUGACAAAUUGUGGUAUAAUAAAUUUAUAUUUCAUUUGUGAGUCUUGA